GUAUUUUUAUGUUUUUUAAUCUAAUUUUACUGCUUGCAUGAGUUACUUGAUUUGGAAUAGAGUUCCACGUAGUCAUGGCUCUAUAUAGUACUCUACGCCUCCCAUAGUCUGUUCUGGGGACUGUGAAGAGACAUCUGCUGGCAUGUCUUGCAGGGUAUGCAUGGGUGUCCGAGCUGUGUGCCAGUAGUUCAGCUUGUUACAUUCAACAAUGUCAAAACAUCUCAAAUACGAGUUGUGAUGAAGUCAAUCUCUCCUCCACGAUAAAACGUAUCGGUACUCAUCGGCCAAUGGACAUAAACAUUACAGAAGAAAUUGGAAAUCGCAAUUUCAACAAUGAGUGGUUUGGAAGGAAUCAGUGGCUAACUGCAGGCAUUGCAAAGCAAUCACUAGCCUGAUAUUCAGUGGAGUGGGUGUGUGGUCCAAGUCUGGGUUUAAGGGUAUAUUUUCAAAGCUUAAAAGGAUAAACAUUCAACUGGCAAUGCUGUCAAUCCAGCAUGACUUCUGCCGCACUCAAAACAACUGGAAACUCGGAACUGGGAAAUCUCAGACUUCAGUGAGUUUAAGACAACUAAACUCAGCAAAAAAAGAAAUGUCCUCUCACUGUCAACUGCGUUUAUUUUCAGCUUAACAUGUGUAAAUAUUUGUAUGAACAUAAGAUUAAACACCUGAGACAUAAACUGAACAAGUUCCACAGACAUGUGACUAACAGAAAUGGAAUAAUGUGUCCCUGAACAAAGGUGGGGGUGGGGGUCAAAAUCAAAAGUAACAGUCAGUAUCUUCUCCUUUAGAUGACACAAGACGAUUAUCUUUCAACUAUAACAACAAUCACAGAUUUGUCACCGUCUUAAUGGCUCUUCUUGGAUAGCUCCCCUCUCUUGGUAGCCAUUCUACAGAGAUAGUUUAUCUCCCCCCCAUUCCUACUGGUUCCCUCCUCUCUCUUAUAGGGGAAAGAGAAUAUGUCAUUAGUACCGUCAGCUGUGCUUAAUUGCCUCAGGUUACCUGGUCUCACAUGCCUUGUUGGGCUACUAUCUGUGAGCCCAGCCUGCCCUCUGGUGGUCCUUCCACAUUAGAUACAAAGUAUCUCAAAUGAGAAAAACAUGUCUAGCCUGUGGUUUCUUCCUCUACUAUCUCGGCCUUGAGGCUGCAUUACUAUCAGCAGGUGCAGGCAAUUCUCAGCCUGAGAUCUAAAGCAGUACAUCUCCAUUUACCCAGUACUCUUCCAUCAUUGUGCAUUGCAAGUAUACAAAGGUUAUCACAUAUAUACAGUGACCAUGGCAUUGUUGUAGCCCCACACCUGACCUCCAGGGAAACCCCCAACAGGUGCAUGUUCAUUAAAUGUUUAUGGUUCUGUCACACCCUGAUCUGUUUCAUCUGUCUUGUGAUUGUCUCUAUCCCCUCCCGGUGUUGCUUAUUUUCCCUGGUGUAUUUAUCCCUGUGUUUCCUGUCUCUCUGUGCCAGUUUGUCUUGUAUGUUUUUCAAGUCAACCAGCGUUUAUCCCGUACUCCUGCUUCUAUUCUCUUUCGCUAGUCCUCCCGGUUUUUGACCCUUGCCUGUUUUUCUGGACUCUGUGCCCGCCUGCCUGACCUGACCUCGAGCCUGCCUGCCACUCUGUACCUCCUGGACUCUGAACUGGUUUUGACCUUUUGCCUGUCCAUGACCAUUCUCUUGCCUACCCCUUUUGGAUUGUUUAAUAGAUAUCAAGACUCAAACCAUCUGCCUCCCGUGUCUGCAUCUGGGUCACGCCUUGUGCCCUCAUAGAGUAAUUGAACAAUUCCCAGUUGUCUUGAAGACACCAUAAAUCCAGAGAAUGACAGACUUUGAUAAAGUCUGAUGACAAAUUUGCCCACGAAAGACCACAGCGCCACCUUCUUGUUCAAGUGAGCACAACAAGGAUAAAGUUUGAAAACCAGCUCCAGCAGCAGAUAGAAGAGAAUAAGCACAUUCAUGAAGCCCAAACAGACUGUCUGCUGAAAUAGAGAGGAUAGAAAACACCAAGUCUCAGCUGUUGAAAGCUGGUUUGAACCUCUACACAUGAUGACUGUAGUGUACUGUAGACUUUAACAUGGGGCUAGUGCACCAUCGGGUGUGCAACUAUGAUGUAUCUGUGCUUGAUAUGAGUGUGUGCAUGCGUGUGUUCAUAGAACAACUGAAGUUGUCUCAGCUCUGCUAUCUAGAGGAGGUGCUGGAUGAGGCCAAGAGACAGAGACAACAGACACACACAAAGACUAAACCCUGGAACUACACACUGAUAGUGGCCACAGUGUAAAUCAAAGUUACAGAUGCUCCCAUGCUCAGCAAACUGGUGAACGUUUUGGGAUUGUUCUUAUUUUAAAUGUAUUUAAAUUAAAUUAUUUAACUAGGCAAUUGUUCUUCUGCCCUUGAUAUUGUGUAUUGUAUUCCUCUGUUUGGAAUUGUGGUUCUGGAUGAAUUGUACAUAUUAUUUGAUUUUCUUAUUCAGGCUUUAUUUAAUGGAAGCGGAUAUUCGACUGGCAGAAGACAAAUGCAAGAUUUGGAAUAGGUGUCAAAAUGAAUGAAGGUUAGGUGUAGUUUCAGUGAGGUUAGGUGUAGUUUCAGUGAGGUUAGGUGUAGUUUUAGUGAGGUUAGGGAAAGGCAUAAUAGACAUUAAAAUGGAGUUAGCAUAGGCUUCUGCUGGUCAAAUAUACAGUAUACUGUAUAUACACGGCCAAUGGCUGUGAUGAGAACAACUACGUCCCUUAUAAAGAGCUCAAGGAUCUUUCCUGGUUAAAGGUUAAAUAAAUACCACUGUGUAUGUGUGUCCUCUGGCUUGUGAGCAACCUUUACAUGCAUUACACUGUAACAAUCUGUAAUUAUGUUAAUUAUAGCAUCAGCACCAUUCCACCUGACAAGUUGUAUGUACUAAUGCUGUAGAACCUGUUGACGGGUGGGAGGGAGCUGAGAGACACACACACACAGAGCUGAGGCCAUGGCUGCAUGCUCCUCUCUGAGGUCUGUUGAACCUGAGAACUUGUCAGUCUCCUUCGCAAGGUUCAGUUUUCAUCCCUCUAGUAUUAUGUCACAUAUUGGUGGAGUCAAACCUACAGUAACUGAUUUUUCUGGUUCCUUCAUUCUGGUGUGUGUGUCACAAUAUAUUAUCAUGAAGGUACACACCACAACUCUACAGGGAAGGUAAUCUAAGGCCAACUCAGAGGUACCUAACACAGUGUGUCAUGUGUUAGUUGUUUAACUAACACAUAUGUAAUUUAUGAUUACAGGUACUCAAACAACCACAGACAUACAGGGAAAACCACACACACUGCUGACAUGGCAUGUUACUGCGUACCUUUACUCACCACAGAGGGAUGACCUUCCAGCAUUUCAGCUCCACUAUGUGUGUGUGUUGGUGUGACUUCAGUGCAUUUUGGCUGCAGUGAGUCACCUGAAAUGCAGGUGUGACAUUAUUUGAGGGUAGGUAGCAACACAUCUGCCACACUGAUCCUCAACACUGGAGCCCCCCAGGGGUGCGUGCUCAGUCCCCUCCGGUACUCCCUGUUCACCCACAACUGCAUGGCCAGGCACGACUCCAACACCAUCAUUAAGUUUGCAGACGACACAACAGUGGUAGGCCUGAUCACCGACAACGACGAGACGGAGGUCAGAGACCUGUCCGGGUGGUGCCAGAAUAACAACCUCUCCCUCAAUGUAACCAAGACUAAGGAGAUGAUUGUGGACUACAGGAAAAGGAGGACCGAGCACAACCCCAAUCUCAUCGACGGGGCUGUAGUAGAGCAGGUUGAGGGCUUCAAGUUCCUUGGUGUCCACAUCACCAACAAACUAGAAGGGUCCAAAGACACCAAGACAGUCGAAUAGGGCAUGACAAAGCCUAUUCCCCCUCAGGAAACUAAAAGGAUUUGGCAUGGGUCCUAUGAUCUUCAAAAGGUUCUACAGCUGCAACAUCGAGAACUGGUUGCAUCACUGCCUGGUACAACAAUUGCUCAGCCUCCGACCACAAGGCAUUACAGAGGGUAGUGCGUACGGCCCAGUAUAUCACUGGGGCUAAGCUGCCUGCUAUCCAGGACCUCUACACCAGGCGAUGUCAGAGGAAGGCCCAAAAAAUUGUCAAAGACCCCAGCCACCCAGUCAUAGACUGUUCUCUCUACUACUGCAUGGCAAGCGGUACCGGAGUGCUAAGUCAAGGACAAAAAGGCUUCUCAACAGUUUUUACCCCCAAGCCAUGAGACUCCUGAACAGGUAAUCAAAUGGCUACCCAGACUAUUUGCAUUGUGUGCCCCCCCCCAACCCCUCUUUUAUGCUGCUGCUACUCUGUUUAUUAUAUAUGCAUAGUCACUUUAACUAUACAUUCAUG
Oncorhynchus tshawytscha (Chinook salmon) is the source of this 4324-nucleotide long non-coding RNA. The record is from Ensembl. Lineage: Eukaryota; Metazoa; Chordata; Actinopteri; Salmoniformes; Salmonidae.